RNAcentral lists this ribosomal RNA (371 nucleotides) under uncultured prokaryote. RNAcentral describes it as "bacterial SSU rRNA". It matches the Rfam family "Bacterial small subunit ribosomal RNA", at positions 524 to 896 of the family's 1533-position model. The record is from RNAcentral.
UACGGAGGGUGCAAGCGUUAUCCGGAAUCACUGGGUUUAAAGGGUGCGUAGGCGGCCCAAUAAGUCAGUCGUGAAAUCGCUGGGCUCAACCCAUGCAAUUGCGAUUGAUACUGUUGGACUUGAAUGGGGUUGAGGCUGGCGGAAUGCGACAUGUAGCGGUGAAAUGCUUAGAUAUGUCGCAGAACACCGAUUGCGAAGGCAGCCAGCUGGGCCUUUAUUGACGCUGAGGCACGAAAGCGUGGGGAGCAAACAGGAUUAGAUACCCUGGUAGUCCACGCCCUAAACGAUGCUCACUUGCUGUUCCUCUUUCGGGGGGAGUGGCGUAGGGAAACCGGUAAGUGAGCCACCUGGGGAGUACGCCCGCAAGGGUG